RNAcentral lists this ribosomal RNA (539 nucleotides) under embryophyte environmental sample. RNAcentral's name for it is "eukaryotic LSU rRNA". The stretch from base 109 to 264 matches the Rfam family "5.8S ribosomal RNA". Lineage: Eukaryota; Viridiplantae; Streptophyta. The record is from RNAcentral.
AUUGCGCCAAGGAACCAUAUAACGAAGAAGAGCACGUCGGCAGUUGCCGCCCGUUCGCGGUGUGCGCGCGGACCGCCUCGUGACUCCUUUCUUGCGAAAAUUUAAAACGACUCUCGGCAACGGAUAUCUCGGCUCUCGCAUCGAUGAAGAACGUAGCGAAAUGCGAUACUUGGUGUGAAUUGCAGAAUCCCGUGAACCAUCGAGUCUUUGAACGCAAGUUGCGCCCCAAGCCAUUAGGCCGAGGGCACGCCUGCCUGGGUGUCACGCAUCGUCGCCCCCUCCACCCCUUAGCCCAACAAAAGGCUAAGGGCGUUGCUGGGACGGAAAAUGGCCUCCCGUAGGCUCCCAGCUUGCGGUUGGCCCAAACGCGAGUCCUCGGCAACGAAUGGCGCCGUGACGAUCGGUGGUAAUGCUCCUAGCGUGCCUUGUCUCCAGUCGCGCGCGCCCGUUGUCCGUGCGGACCCCCUCGGACCCUUUUGUGCAUCGCUCGAACGAUGCUCGCAUCGCGACCCCAGGUCAGGCGGGAUUACCCGCUGAGU